Molecule: non-coding RNA, 254 nt
Organism: Theobroma cacao (cacao)
Lineage: Eukaryota; Viridiplantae; Streptophyta; Magnoliopsida; Malvales; Malvaceae
Source: RefSeq, a predicted model, not a curated record
GCAAUUUGGAGCUAAAUUGGACGCGUUGGCCAAUUAAUCAGGUGGUGAGUCCUCCGAUAAAGGUAAGGAAAUUGCAUUCGAGAACCAGUAGUCAGAGUACUUCGAAAAUCCGCACUCUAGACAUUGCUCAGAAUAGAUUGUAGAUAACUGAUAUCGUCGAGGACUACAGUUGAAUUUGUCACAUCCAAAAACUGUAGGUUCAUUUUUUUAAUACUUUUGGUCAUUCGUGGGCUCACUUGUUACUGUAAAUUAAA